CCUACGGGGGGCCGCAGUGAGGAAUAUUGGUCAAUGGACGAGAGUCUGAACCAGCCAAGUAGCGUGAAGGAUGACUGCCCUAUGGGUUGUAAACUUCUUUUAUAUGGGAGUAAAACAGGGUAUGCAUACCCUCUUGUAUGUACCAUAUGAAUAAGGAUCGGCUAACUCCGUGCCAGCAGCCGCGGUAAUACGGAGGAUCCGAGCGUUAUCCGGAUUUAUUGGGUUUAAAGGGAGCGUAGGUGGAUUGUUAAGUCAGUUGUGAAAGUUUGAGGCUCAACCGUAAAAGUGCAGUUGAAACUGGCAGUCUUGAGUACAGGAGAGGUGGGCGGAAUUCGUGGUGUAGCGGUGAAAUGCUUAGAUAUCACGAAGAACGCCGAUUGCGAAGGCAGCUUACUGGACUGCAACUGACACUGAUGCUCGAAAGUGUGGGUAUCAAACAGGAUUAGAUACCCGAGUAGUC
This 460-nucleotide ribosomal RNA is filed under the name uncultured bacterium. Its description in RNAcentral is "partial 16S ribosomal RNA". It matches the Rfam family "Bacterial small subunit ribosomal RNA", at positions 338 to 795 of the family's 1533-position model. The record is from RNAcentral.